UUUUUCAGGGGAUAUUAAAGAUUUUUUAAAAGAAUAUCACUAGAGACAUCAGAUUAGCUUACGGUGUGUGGUUCCAGAAGUUUCUGAAUUUCUCUAAAGUUACUUUGAAGUCUCUGGUUUCUACUUGUACAACGCCGAUUCAAACCUACCCAUCUCCCACAUAAAGUCUAACUCAGGUUCAAUGGCUCCGGAUAGAGAUGCUCCACCUGAAAACUCACAAGAAAACUCACAAGAAAGAGAUGCUCAAGAAAGAGAUGCUCCUGAUACAAAUGCUCCACCUGAUACUGAAGCAAAAGAAGUUGCACGAGGCAUCACCAUUAUGAAGGGAAUCAUUCGACAUAGAG
This is a long non-coding RNA of Vicia villosa (hairy vetch), 344 nucleotides long. RefSeq lists it as uncharacterized. The record is from RefSeq and is a predicted model, not a curated record. NCBI's taxonomy places the organism in Eukaryota, Viridiplantae, Streptophyta, Magnoliopsida, Fabales, Fabaceae. The transcript is spliced from 3 exons.